Molecule: RNA transcript, 13277 nt
Organism: Sapajus apella (tufted capuchin)
Lineage: Eukaryota; Metazoa; Chordata; Mammalia; Primates; Cebidae
Gene name: RNA-binding motif protein, X chromosome-like
Exons: 1
Source: RefSeq, a predicted model, not a curated record
GCUGGAGGCCAUUAUAUUAAGCAAAUUAAUGCAGAAACAGAAAAUAAAAUACCACAUGUUCUCACUUAUAAGUGGGAAGUAAACAGUGGGUACACAUGGACACAAAGAUGGAAAAAGUAGACACUGGGGAAUACUAGAGGGAGCAGGGUAAGAUGGGGGCAAGGGUUGAAAAACUAAUUAUUGAGUAUUACACUCACUACCAGGCUGACAGGAUCAACCAUACCCUAAACCUCAGCCUCAUACAAUAUACUUAUGUAGCAAACCUGCACAUGUACCCUAUGAAUCUAAAAUAAAAGGUGAAAUUAUAUUUUUAAAAAUUUAAAAUAAAAGCAUACCUCUGCAGCAGUAGCUGGGGUAACACAGCCUUUCCCCACCAGUAAAAAAAAAAAAAAAAAAAAAAAAUUAAAAGUAAGAAUAAAAGUAAAUAGAUAAAUUUUGAGUCUGUCUUAGACACAUUUUAAGGUACCACUCUCUCUUUAUAAUGGCUUUUUAGUUGAAUGUGUGCAAGUAAGUGUAUGCAGGGCACAUGUGUAUGUGCUUAUAUAUAUUCAGAACUUAGCUGUAAUACAACUCUGUCUUUAAUAAGCCACUGAUUGCCUCUGAACCAAUUUUCUCAGUUGUAAAUUGAAAUAGUAGAAUUAAGUGAUCUCAAAUAUCUGUUCUAGUUUUACAAUCUAUAUUUCUAUGAUACAAAGGUUGCAUUUUGAAGUAAUGUCUGUCUUUUAUCUUUUAUAUCUCUUUCAUAUUUCCCAUGCCAAGAUAUUUUUCACAAAGUCCUGGGGGAAAAAAAAUUCAGAAACAAAUAGAAGUGGUUCGUUAUUGCCAUAAAAUAAAGCUCAGCUCUUUUGAACGUGCAUGAGACCCCAGGUGCCCUGGAGUCUGUCUGCCUUACCAGGUUCACCCCUUACUGCUCCUUGCCACAUAAUUUCUGCUGUGGAAACAACAUAUUGAUUAAAGCUCUAUUCCUCUAUCCAUGCUUUUUACUGCAUUUCUUUGUUAACCUAACUCCUCUUCUUCCUUUCAAAUCAGCCCAGAUGUCUUCUCUUUCAAGUUUUCUUUAAACUCUAGGACAGACUUGGCAUUUUGUUUCAGAGCUUAUGCUAUCGUAGCACUUACUUAAUAUUAUGUUGAAACCACCUGCUUCUGGAAACUCCCUGAAGACAAGACUUGCUGUCUUUUACCUUUAUAGCCUCAAAAUGAAUAUAUGUUUAAUUUCUAAAAGAAGAUUACAUCUGAUUUUAUCCUCAUUAGGUAGUGUUUUUAUUUUUGACUUUCAAUAUGUUCUGCAUCAAUACAAACUUUAUUGUUUUAUUCAUAUUGUAUUAAUUAUUUUAACACUGAGUUAUCAGAUUACUUCUAACAGUAGGACAUUGGCAUUUUACUAAUCUCUUAAAUAUGACAUUUUAUAUGAUGGUCACUAUUUCUUCUGAAAAACUCAUAUAUAUUCAAUUUUAUAAUUAGUUUAUAUUAAUGAAACAGGAAAAAAGAUUCAAACUUUUUUUCGGAAAUUUACUAUGCUGAAAAAAUUAUACUAACAUCUGAAAAUUGUGCCAUUUUGCAUGAGAUGAAUAACAAUUUUAAGUAUUCUUUAGUAAUUAUUCUAUUAAUAAUUGAAUUAAUAAUCAAAAUAGUAGCUAUAAUUUAUUAAGUACUUAUUUUACUCCAGAUGCUCUUCUGAAAGUUUUAAACAUAACUCAGGUGAUACCUACAACAAUGCUAUAAUGCUAACAUUGUCUUUAUUCUAUAAAUUCACUUUACAGAAAAUUAAAUAUGUCUUAAACAUUAAUUUAGUGCCUAGUUGUCCACGUAUUUUUCAUUUGAACCCAGUAUACCUAUUAAAGUGGAUUAAUUUAACUUAAUCAACUGAAAGAUAAUAAUAGUAUUAGAUACUGUAUAUAUAUAUAUACAUAAAGAGUAUCUUGGUAGGUACUGUGGAGGGAAGAUGAGGAAUUAAAGCAUACAUCUUAACCUUUAGGGGUUUGCUAUCUUACAGAGGAAACAGCGUAUAAAAAUCUGCUGUUUCAUGAGUUCUUCAUAUUUUUUUUUACUGCUCAUACAUUUAAGCAAUGUCUAAGUCAUUGUUUUUUGGUACAUUUUCAAGAAUAAACAUAAUAAAAAAUGAAAUUAUAAUUAAUUCAUACAGCAAGGUUUGCUUGUAGAAAAUAAUGUAUUUUUUUCCCAACACUUUGAAAAUGCUAGGAAUGGCUUCUUUCGCCAUGUCCAAGCUUUUUAGCAUAAAUGCAGCCCCAUUUGUCUAUUUACGUUUGUCACCUAUGCUUUGGGGUCCUACACAACAAAUCAUUGCCGAGGCCAAUGCUGUGAAACUUCUCCCCUUUGUUUUCUUCCAGUAUUUUUACAAUGUCAGGUCUUAGAUUUGAGUAUUUAAUUCAUUUGGAGUUAUUUGUACAUGGCGUGUGAACCCCAAAUAUCUGAGACAGGUCUCAGUUGAUUUAGAAAAUUUAUUUUGCAAAGAUUGAGGACACUUACCCGUGACACAGCCUCAGAAGGUACUGACAACAUGUGCCCAAGGUGAUCAGAGCACAGCUUGGUUUUAUACAUUUUAGACAGACAUGAGACAUCAAUCGACAUAUAAAAGACGAACACUGGUUCAGUCUGAAAAGGUGGGUCAACUCGAAUCAAAGGCAGGGCAACUUGAAGUAGGGAGGGGGCUUCCAGGUCAUGGGAAGAAAAGUGACAAAUGGGUGGUUGCGUUCUUUUGAGUUUCUGAUUAGCCUCUCCAAAGGAGUCAAUCAGAUGUGCCUUUAUCGCUGAGAGCAGAGGGGUGACUUUAAAUAGAAUAGGAAACAGGUUUGCCCUCAGCUUGGCUUUUCCCUUUAGCUUAGUGAUGGGGCCCCAAGAUUUAUUUUCCUUUCACAGGUGUGUGACAAGGGUCCAGUUCCAUUUUUCUGCAUGAGGAUAACAACACAGCGAAACUGCAAUCUACAGAAUCAGAGAAAAUAUUUGUAACCAAUAGGUCUAAUAAAAUGGUAAUAUCCUAAAUAAGCAAGAAACUCAAAAUUCUCAACAGCAGAAAAAGAAAAAAAGACCUGGGCAAAGAACCUGAAUAGACAUAUCUCUAAAGAAGAUAUACGAAUGACCAACAGUCAAAUGAAAAUAUGUCUCAUCACGGAAAUGCAAAUUAAAACCAUAGAUACCACCUUGCCCGUUAGAACAGCUAUUUUCUUUCUCUUUUUAAACAUUUUGUUAUUUUACUUUGAGAUCUGGGAUGCACGUGUAGAAUGUGUGGUGGUUUGCUGCACCUAUUGACCCAUCACCUAGGUUUCCUCCCCUUGCCCCCCCACCCCUCAGCAGGCCCCAGUGUAUGUUAAAACAGCUAUUUUCAAAAAGACAAAAUAUAACCACAAAUGUUGGCAAGGAUAUAGAGACAAGGAAACCCUGUUCACUGUUGGUGGGAAUAUAAAUUAACACAACCACUAAGUAAAACAACGUGGAGGCUCCUCAAGAGACUAAAACGUAGAUCUACCAUAUGAUCCAGCAAUCCCACUGCUGGGUAUAUAUCCAAAGGAAAUGAAAACAACAUAUUGAGGAGAUAGUUGCACUCUCAUGUUUAUCGUAGCACUAGUCACAAUGCGCAAGUUAUGGUAUCAACCUAAGCUUCCUUUAACAAAUGAAUGGAUAGAGAAAAUGUGGCAUAUCUACAUAAUGUAAUUCCAGCCAGCCUUUAAAAAGAAGAAAAUCUUGUCCUUUCAAAAAUAGGUGAACCUGGAGGACAAUAUGCUAAGUAAAAUAAGCCAGGCACAGAAAAGCAAAUAUCACAAGUUCUCAAUUACAUGUAGAAUCUAAAACAAUCAAACUCAUAGAAGCGAAAAUUUAAUGGUGGUUAUCAGAGACAAGGAGUUGGGGAAAUGGUCAAAGGAUAUGAAGCUGCCAGAAGACAGGAAGAAUAAAUGUUAAGUAUUUAAGUUGAUGGAUAUGUUAAUUAGCUUGAUUUAAUCACUCCACACUCUGUAUAUACAUGAUAACAUCACUUUGUAUCCCAUAAUUAUAUAAUUGAUCAAAAAACAAAAUUAAAUAAAAAUCAUAAAAUACUGGUAAUAAACAUUUGUUAAGAUUAAUACUGAAUAACAAUAUUUUUUACUCAUCUAGCCACUUCAUUUAUAAAUAAAAAUUAUAAGAUUAAUAAUGUUGAUAAAUAUUGAAGGUGAACCUCAGCUGCACUUCCUCAAGGACUGUCAAAAGCAUAAGGAUUAUUGUUAAAAGAAGAGUGUUUUUUGGACAUGCACUUUGAUAGUCCCAGUUAUUAUAGUACAAAUCAUUCAGUUUAAUUGAUUUAAACUGAACCAUCUGCUGUCUAAUUGGCUCACAGCCAGUGGGAUUUGUGUUAGUAAAUGAGUAUCAGAGAUAGAAAGAAUACUAAUGUGAAGUUUAUGUUUCACUAAGAAUGUCUCCUUGUGAAUCGCUUGAAACCAGAAGGUGAAGGUUGCAGUGAGCCAAGAUUGUGCCACUGCACUCCAGCCUGGGCAACAAGAGCGAAAUUCCGACUCAAAAAGAAAAAGAAAAAAAAAAAAAGAAUGUCUCCUUAUUCAUUGACAAAGAUUAAACAUAUUAAAAUGUAUGCAAAUCAAAGAGCCUACUUUUAAGACUUCUCCUGAACAAGAUAGAAUAAGUAGGAUUAGAUAUAUCUUCCUGCCCAAAACAUUUUUGAAAUGCACAAAAUAAAUGAAACAAAGGUUCUGAAGACAUUGGAUAUCAGACCAUGACAGAGAGCAAUAACAGAGAUAGUAAAUAAACAUUGUAAGCUCUCUGAUUGUCCCAGUAUACUUUGUGAAGAUGUUUCCAGGUGGCACAGAAAGAGGAAAACCAGAUAGAUCCUAUGGCUUGAAGAGACAUAGUAGGGAAAGAAGGGAAGACACAGUUGACAGAGUUUGCAAUGUAGAGCACCAGAAAGGAGAGAGUUGCCCAGAAAGAGAAUUCUGGAGAUCUGGAAGAGUUCUUAAGUCAUCAGCUGAAUACUAAUUAGCCCAUGAACAUGGGAAAACAACUUGAGACCAAAGAAAGAAAUGUAUGAAAAGACAGAGGUAGCAUCUUUUGCACUUACACAGGACCGGAAAAAUAAAUGCUCAUUUCCACUAACAAGAGUGGAAAUCCUAAUAAUUCACAGAGUAUCGGGUAGAGUAUAUAAAAAAUUUGUGCCUCAAUUGUGGAGCAAAAUUAGCCAUAGGCCAGGUUCUGCUGUGGUCCUGCCUAACAAAAUUUAAAGGCAAUAAGCAGAUAUGAACUGCAAGAAAUGUUAGAGGAAUUCCCACAGGUAGAAGGAAUAUAAUCCAGAUGGAAAUAAAAAUUUACAGAAAAGGUUGAUUUUUUUCCUUAUUAUAGGUCACCUUUUUCUGCUUCUUUUUUAUGCCUUGGGAUUUUACAUUAGAUGUAGAAUUGAAAAUUCAACUUUGUUGGGCUCUUGGCAAUUUUUUUGUUCAUUUUACAAAUACUCUUGAGCUUUUUUCUGGAAUAUGAUUAAUUUAUUGACAACAGUUUAAUUCUUUCAGGUUUUUCCUUUAGCAUAUGCUAAAAGCCCAUACAGAGGAUCAAUAGCAUAAAAUACCUCCUAAGAACAUUUCUGCUUCGAUGUUUGAAAUGAUGGCCAAUUUAUCAAUAUUGUGAUGAUAAUCUCAUAGAAUAUUUUACCAAAUGUCUAUUUGAGAUUAUCUGAUGUCAUCCAACAGCCAUGGUGGCUUUCUUAGAUUAUGUCCUAUAGACCUUGCAACCUGACAAUUCCCAUCUGUUCUUCACAGAAUUGGAAAGCAAAUUUUGUGCACCUGUGACAGAAUUCUUGAUAUUCUUCAUAGAUUUUUGUCAUUCUGUUCAAGGAGAGAUUCUUGCAUAAAAACUUUAAUCAUUAAUAUUGAAAUAUAAAAUUUAAAAAUAUAUGAAAUAAAAAUUUGGUACUGGAUUAUCCAAAAUAUUUAUUUUUGGCAUGGGUACUUCUCAAAUUACAGAAUUAUAACCCUCAGAUUUUCUUCACCAGCAAGGAUAUUGUAAAACAACAAAAGAGAAACUUAAUAUUUUCAAUAAGUUACCAGGAAGCAUGGUGUCCUCAGUUCCUAGUGUUCUUGGGAGAAAGAAUUUGGCCAAGAGACAAUUUAACAAAGAGAGCAGAGAGUUUUUGAGGAAAACACACUCCAAGAGAGGAGUGAGCUUACUAGGCUGGGAGCAACAGCAGUAGCAGCAAUGGUUAAGUGGUAUCACAGAUUAUUUAAAGUGGCAGAGUGGGCUGCUUGGAGGAGAAUGGGCCAGCGACCCUGAAAGUUCUAUGUUGUUGUUUUUUAUCAUGUCAUACACUUUCUUUAAGUUUGCACCUCUGUCUCAAAUCUCUGCUUUUGUCUGUGUCUGAUUUCCCACUUCUGCCUUAAGUCCCUGCCUUUUCCCCCACCAAGUUCCCACCGCAGGUUUGUAGGAUUCUCCCUUACUGUCAGUUGAUACACAAGUGCAGGCCCAGUGAUCUAUACAAAUCUUUCCUAAUGGUAGUGCGGUUCAUUACUACCACCCCAGGAAGGUGUAUAAACAGCAGUUAAAUAUGUAGUUAUUGUGCCUUUGUAUCUCUUAGCAAUUUCCCCUUUGCCUUUUUCCCCUCCUUAUCAGCAUAUAGCUAACUAUAGUUUCACAGUUCAAUCACGGAAUGAGUGAUUACUGGGCAUUUUAAGGGGCAUUUUGGAGAGUUCUUUCUUGCAUAGGUAUUUUCCUUCCUCUCUACUCAUAUCUAGCAUGCAUAUUUUGGAUGGUCUCUGGAGUGUGAGAUUUCAUAGUGCUUACAUUUUUAGGGGCUACCCUUCUUGCUCAUGUCUAACUAUCCACCUACUCUAACAAAUACAUAUUACACUAUAGGUGAGAUGGCUAGAUUAUUGGAAGAUAACCUUGAUUAAUUUACCCAAGACUAAAAUUAUUCUGAGGCAAGGAGGAUAAUCCCUGACUACUGAUCCAAGUGGUAGGCUGUGAUAGGCAAUGACUAUGUCAUGUUGCUGAGUUUAUACCUCUAGAGCAUAGCCUAAUGCUUUUAUAGACAUUUACAAAACAUUUAUGAUAUUUUAGGAAGAAUACUUCUGAACUUUUAUGUGUGCCAUGUUGUUGAUCUUACAUACCUAUGAUAUGUCCUAAUUUAUAUAUAAAAACAAAAUUUUAUGAUAUUCUAGAAUAAAUAAAUAUUCUUAUGGGUUUUCUCCAAUUACUCUGUUCUCCAAUUAUAUUCUGCUCAUUGGAAUAAUUUGAAAAUAAUUCUAGACUCAUAACUCAUACAUACUGUAAGGACUAUGGGAUAUCUAGAUUGGUUAUAAUCUGCUAAUUUGUUUAAUAUUUAGAGAUCUUCUAAAAAUAAUUCUUUCAUAGUUUGUUUCUUCUGAAACUUCAGUGUCCAAAGUAGGUUACCCAAAAAAGUUACAUGAUUUCUAUCACAGAGAAUAAAGAAAUUUCCUCUGAUAAUGUUCACAAAUUAAUAGUUUAUAGGAAAGAGACUGAAAGAGACUAAGGAUUGUUAAAAAUGUUCAAGACUGAGUGUUUUCUGUUAAUCAAGGCAAAUAAAGUUCAGUUACCUAAAGGAUUUAGUAUUUAUAUUAAGCCUCAAGAUUAACUUUUUCUAUAUCUUUCUUUCCUUCUUGCACAAUUCAAAAAUUUUAUUUCAUCUGGAGAGCCAUAUAUUAAUUAUCAUUUUUAGUCAGUUUAUAAUCUUCUAAAUCUCUUCGAAAUAUACAGCCACAUUUGGAGGUUUUGUAAGUUGACAAUUUUUCUUUCCAAGUUAGAUUUCCUGUUUUCCUUCUUUUGGGCCUGUGAACAUUUAGAAAUAGAGAGAGCAAGGAUCCUUUUAAACUGCUCUUGACUGUACUACAGGCUACUCUUUGAAAAUGUUCUAAAAUAUAUAUAUAUAUAUAUAUAUAUAUAUAUAUAUAUAUAUAUAAAGUUUUCUUAAGUAAUUCUAAAAUGCAUUACAUUGAAGAUUUUUAAUUUUUUUUUUUUUUGUAUUUCAAGGUCACCUUUGAAUUACAUACAGCUAGGUUGCUUAAAUCAUUUUCUGGUCCCUCCCACUCUAUUGUUUAUAACAAUGUUUUUUUCCAGAAAAGGGGUUAACAAUUAAGUAAACUCAUUGGCAUAGAUAUACUUGUCCAGAAGGUUUUUUAAAAAUCCAUAAAUCAUAGUACUUAACAUGGCUUUAGGCUGGGAUUUAAAAGCAAUAUGAAAUUUCACGUUCUCACUAAGAUGGUAUAAAAAGGAUUAGAUUUACCACCCUGCUGGGGAAACAAAACAAAACAAAAAUAAAAAAUAAGAAAAAAAUGUCUUUCAGACAUUGACUUUUAAAAGGCAUCUCUCAAGGCUGAUUUUUCACAGAAGUGAAGCAGGUGAGACUAAUCUUGUAACAGCUCUGGUUUGCUUCCUACACAAAAUUUUAAAAACACGUGAACAGAGAGGUACACCCAAAGCCCCUAAGCGAACUCAUGGAAGUGAAGAAUAUUAAUGGAGAAAAGGAAAAGUAGAGGCAGCUGGAAGUUGUAGAGGCAGAGAUCUGGAAAAGACAGCUAUGUCAUUUCUUAGGUGUAGUAGUAAUUGAUUUAUAAAUUUAGGAGCUCCAGUGUUAGAUGCGUAUAUAUUUAAGAUUGUGAUACUUUCCUAUUGGACAAGACCUUUUAUUGUUAUAUAACGUCCCUCUUUGUCUUUUUUAACUACUAUUGCUUUAAAGUUUGUUUUGUCUGAUAUAAUAAUAGCUACUCCUGCUAGUUUUUGUUGUCCAUUUUCAUAAAAUAUCUUUUUCCACCCCUUUGCCUUAAGUUUAUGUGAGUAGUUAUGUGUUAGGGGAGUCUCUCUUGAAGGCAGCAGGUACUUGGUUGGUGAAUUCUUAUCCAUUCUGUCAUUCUGUAUCUUUUAAGUGAAGCAUUUAGGCCAUUUAUAUUCAUUUAGUAUUGAGAUGUGAGGUACUAUUCUAUUCAUCCUGUUAUUUGUUGCUUGCAUACCCUUGGUUGUUUUGGGUUUUUGUUGUUGUUGUUGUUGUUAUUGUUUGUGCGUGUGUGUUGUUGUAUUAUAGGCCCUGUAAGAUUUAUGUUUUCAAAUGUCCUGUUUUGAUGUAUUUUGAGGAUUUGUUCCAAGACUUAGAGGUCCUUUUAGCAGUUCUUGUAGUGCUGGCUUGGUAGUGGCACAGUCCCUCAACAUUUGUUUGUCUGACAAAGACUAUCUUUCAUACAAAAAACUGUAUCCUCCAUUUAUGAUACUUAGUAUCACUGGAUACAAAAUUCUUGACUGAUAUUUGUUUUGUUUAAAGAGGCUGAAGAUAGGGCACCAAUCCCUUCUAGUCUGUAGGUUUUCUCCUGAGAAAUCUGCUGUUAAUCUGAUGGGUUUUCCUUUAUAGGACACCCUAUUCAACAAAUGGUGCUGGGAUAAUUGGCAAGCUACAUGUAGAAAAGUAAAAAUGAAUCCUUUUCGCUCACCUUAUAUAAAAAUCAAUUUGAGGUGGAUCAAGGACUUACAUCUAAAACCUGAAAUCAUAAAAAUUCUAGAAGAUAACAUUGAAGAAACCCUUCUAGAUAUUGGCUUAGGCAAAGACUCCAUGACCAAGAACCCCAAAGCAAAUAUAACAAAAGCAAUGAUAAAUAGGUGGGACUUCAUUACACUAAAAAGUUUCUUCACAGCAAAAGAAACAAUCAGCAGAGUAAAUGGACAACCUACAGAGUGGUAGGAAAUCUUCACAAUCUAUACAUCUGACAAAAAACUAAUAUACAGACUCUACAAGGACCUCAAACAAAUUAGCAAGAAAAACAAAUCCCUUCAAAAAGUGGGCUAAGGACGUGAAUGAACAAUUCUCAAAGAAAGAGUUGCAGUGAGCCAAGAUUGCGCCACUACACUCCAUCCCUGCUACAGAAUGAGACUCAGUCAAAAAAAAAAAAAAAAAAAAAAAAAAACCAGAAUUGAAAUGUGUGUUUAUUGGUUGCACAGUAGUGCUAGUGGCUUCGUGGUUUGGUCCUCGGAGCCGGAAGCCACCACUGGUACUGAGCUGGUAGGAAGCCCCUGUCCAUGAGCUCAUUGGAGCUUUAACCCAUUAUCACUCCUCCAACUCACUGACACACAAAAAAAAAUGGUUGAAGCAGAUGCCCAGGAAAGCUCUUCAUUGGUGGCCUUAAUACAGAAACAAACGAGAAAGCUCUUGGCACAGUAUUUGGCAAAUAUGGACAAAUAGUGAAAGUACUCUUGAUGAAAGACCAUGAAACCAACAAAUCAAGAGGAUUUGCUUUUGUCAACUUUGAAAGCCCAGCAGACACUAAAGAUGCAGCCAGAGACAUGAAUGGAAAGUCACCAGAUGGAAAAACCAUCAAGGUGGAACAAGUCACCAAACCAUCAUUCGAAAGUGGUAGACAUGAACUGCCUCCACCUCCAAGAAGUAGAGGCCUUCUAAGAGAUAUUAGAGGUGGAGGAGGAGGAAGUGGAGGAACCAGGGGACCACCCUCUCAAGGAGGACGCAUGGUUGAUGGUGGAUAUUCCAUUAAUUUUAACAUGAGUUCUUCCAGGGGACCGCUCCCAGUAAAGGGUCACCACCAAGAAGUGGGGUUCCUUCUCCUAAGAGAUCUGCACCUUUAGGACCAGUUCGCAGCAGCAGUGGAAUGGGAGGAAGAGCUCCUGUAUCAUGUGGAAGAGAUAGUUAUGGAGGUCCACCUCGAAGGUAACCACUGCCAUCUCAUAAAGGUAUUUAUUUGUCCCCAAGAGAUGAUGGAUAUUCUACUAAAGACAGCUUACCCAAGUUUUCUUGAUACAAGAGAUUAUACACUACUACCACAAGAUUAUACUUACUUACUCGGAUUAUGGUCAUUUCAGUUCACGUGAUGACUAUCCAUCCAGAGUCUACAGCGAUAGAGAUGGAUAUGGUCAUGAUCAUAACUAUUCAGAUCAUCCAAGUGGAAGUUCCUACAGAGAUUCGUAUGAGAGUUAAAGUAACUCACGCAGUGCUCCACCUACAUAAGAGCCCUGCCAUCUUAUCAUGGAAUCAGUCGCUAUCAUGAUUACAGCAGUUUACGUGACCUAAAUGGUGGAAGUCGAGACAGUUACUCAAGCAGCCGAAAUGAUCUCUCCUCAAGUAGUCAUGACCGCAUUGGCAGACAAGAAAGAGGGCUGCCCCCUUCUAUGGAAAGCCCUCCUCCAUGUGAUUCCUACAGCAGAGCAAGGAGAGGUGGUGGUCAUGGAGGAAGCUGAUCUGGUAAAGAGGGAGGUAGAAGCAGAUACUAGAAGCAAACAAAAGUUUGGACCAAAAUUACAGUUCAAAGAAACAAAUAAAAAGUGGAAACUAUUCUGUAGUAACUACCCAAGAACUACUAAAUGGAAAAACUGUGUUACCUUUUUUAAAUUCCCUAAGUUCCCCUCUGUAAUUUUUAUGUUUUUGUGAGGAAAAAAGUAAAACAUUUUUAAUUUUAUUUGACUUUAUGACAUUGCUUUUCAAUAAGCAAAUGUUAAAUGUGUUAAGACUUGCACUAGUGUUGUAACUUUCCAAGUAAAAGUGUCCCCAAAGGGCACUUCCUAUCUGAUUUUUCCCAGUAAAUGAGGCAAGCAAUUCUAAGGUCUUCCACAAAACAUCUAGCCAUCUAAAAUGGAAAGAUACAAACAAGCUAGUUAUUGGAGGGUGGUUGGGAUAUGCUACUCAAAACAUUUCAGGGUGUCUUCCAACUGAAAUCUCACUGUUUCACCAUGAAAACCCUGAGAUCAGAUGCCUAUGUAAGGAAAGUGCUAUUCACCCAGUAAACCCAAAAAAGCCAAUGGAUAAUGCUGGUCAUUUUGCCUUUCUGACAUUUCCUUGGGAAUCCACAAGAACCUCCCUUUUCCCCUCCCGCAAUAAGACACUUUAAGUAUGUGUUAAACAACUAUAGAACACUAAAUAAAAAGCUUGGCCAAAAGCAAACAUGAAGCUGCAAAGGUGCUUGCUCUUACUGUUUCAAGUUUUGGCAACUCUGUAGUGUCUGACUUUUAAAGGAACAGCUUGAUUGCAAAGGAGAAAACAGAUAGGCAAUGAAGUUAUUGCCAACUUCCUAAAGGCUUAUGACUUCUAAAAAGUGAAUCUAUCCGCAUUCCACAUUAGAUUUAAAGCAACAAAUGCCUGUGAAACAGCAAAGAUGGUUGAGGAUUAUGCUCAUUAUGGUCCUGGAGUGCUGAUUUAUUCACAGUAGAUAAAGCUGGCAGUAAGAAAAAUCAAAUGCUAAGAGUUGUUGAAGCAGAAGGCGGCUGAUUGUCAGUAAGUCACUACAGUUGCAUAAGCAAUGCUGUCAGAAUUGGUUUGGUGUAGGCAAUAGAUCUUGCCUUCAAGGAUCUCUGCGGAUCUGAGAAAGGCAUCAGUGUUAUUAACACUCAUAACUAGGGAGUGAGUGGUAGUUAUUUAAAACAAGUAAUUAAUCAAAUGGAAAAGGGGAAGUAAUUAAGGAAAUUGGUAAGUGGAGGUAGUCAAGAAGUUCUUGUGGUGCUUUACAUAGAUUUUACAGCUUUGGCUUUCAUUUUGCUUAGCUAAAGUCAUGGGGACAACUCUUUAAUUUAGAAAUUAAGUUGAAUUAUAAAAAUGAUGGAUAUAAGUGGUAGCUCUAUCUAGUGAAGUGUCUGACAGUAAAUGAAACACUUUUUUGUGGUGGCUUAUUCAGAAACAGAGUUUAGUUGUAGAAUAAAACUCAUGAGUGACAUAUGGAAAAUAACAAGCAUGCUAAGCACACUGGAAACAAUUAGGCCACUUGGCUUUCUUUGGCUGUAUUAUUUUAUAAGCCUAAUUUACCUCCUAGUCUUGGAAACAAGUUUUAGUUUAUUGCUUUGGAGACUGAGCCCGUAGUAUAAUGUUCUCAAAGGAAACAGACUUGAGUUGUUGGAUUAGAAGAAUUAAUUCAACUUCUAAGAUUUUUUUUUUAUCAUAAUUAUGGUACUGUCACAUUUUAACAUUUGCAACUUGGGAUAGUAAGUAAAACAUUUUUGACUCUCAUUUGACAGACUACUGCUAAUUUACAGACCAUAAGGGUAAUUCCCAAAUUUAUGUGGUUGCUGCACUUCCAUAUUUUUCUCACCCCAAUCCUUCCAUACUCUUAUGAUUACUUGGGUGAAAGCUUCUGUGAGGACCUUUUGGCUCUUGAGAUACCCGAGACAUUUAAGAUAUUUAGAUAUCCUAAAGAUAGUAGAGGAUAUAGAGAUUGUACCAAAUAUAAAUGUAUAUUAAGUUCAAAGCAAGAAGUAUGUUAAAAUGACCAGAUAACUGUUUGAUAGUUUACUGACGUAGCAGACAUGUGAAAAACAAUCAGAUCUUGAUUAUUCUGGGUUUAUACUGGUUGUAA